UCAGCUUUGAGUAGCCGUGGCCGCCGCAGGCUCGGCGGCACAGCUCGGAACCCUGGAAGCACAAGUCUGACGUCAUGGCCUUGAUGCCUGCGCUCAGGGCGUGAAGCUGCAAGAACAGGGGAUCGCGGUGAGGACACUGAGAGACAAAGAAGUGGUGCGCCUUGCCCCAGCUCCCACAACUGGCAAGCAGCCCAGCUGUGUGUCCCCCAGGUCUGUCUGGCCUCUGACCCUCAGUCCAUUUUGCUUUAGUCUUCUGGAUCCUCGAGCCCAUGGCAUGAAACAAUACUGGGUCCUUAGAUUGGAGGGUCUCCCACUCUUCAUAUUCCAGGCCGGAUGCUGGAUUGGCGGCGGAUGACCGAGUAGCGGAUGGCGAUGACACAGGCCUUCUGCAGCAGAGGGAUGAUCUCUCCCAGGAGCAGCUCCACCCGCACCACCACCAUGGAAAAGUAGUUGGUCUGCUGU
Molecule: long non-coding RNA, 462 nt
Organism: Mustela lutreola (European mink)
Lineage: Eukaryota; Metazoa; Chordata; Mammalia; Carnivora; Mustelidae
Exons: 3
Source: RefSeq, a predicted model, not a curated record